AGGGUUGUGGCUCAGGGGUAGAGCGCUUACCUAGCAGGUGUGAGGCACUGGGUUCGAUCCCUAGCAGCACAU
Molecule: non-coding RNA, 72 nt
Organism: Ictidomys tridecemlineatus (thirteen-lined ground squirrel)
Lineage: Eukaryota; Metazoa; Chordata; Mammalia; Rodentia; Sciuridae
Source: Rfam